Molecule: ribosomal RNA, 856 nt
Filed under: Bacillus sp. EA26
Lineage: Bacteria; Bacillati; Bacillota; Bacilli; Caryophanales; Bacillaceae
Description: bacterial SSU rRNA
Rfam family: Bacterial small subunit ribosomal RNA
Source: RNAcentral
UGAUGAGAAGCUUGCUUCUCUCUGAUGGUUAGCGGCGGACGGGUGAGUAACACGUAGGCAACCUGCCCUCAAGUUUGGGACAACUACCGGAAACGGUAGCUAAUACCGAAUAAUUGUUUUCUUCGCCUGAAGGAAACUGGAAAGACGGAGCAAUCUGUCACUUGGGGAUGGGCCUGCGGCGCAUUAGCUAGUUGGUGAGGUAACGGCUCACCAAGGCGACGAUGCGUAGCCGACCUGAGAGGGUGAUCGGCCACACUGGGACUGAGACACGGCCCAGACUCCUACGGGAGGCAGCAGUAGGGAAUCUUCCGCAAUGGGCGAAAGCCUGACGGAGCAAUGCCGCGUGAGUGAUGAAGGUUUUCGGAUCGUAAAGCUCUGUUGCCAGGGAAGAACGCUUGGGAGAGUAACUGCUCUCAAGGUGACGGUACCUGAGAAGAAAGCCCCGGCUAACUACGUGCCAGCAGCCGCGGUAAUACGUAGGGGGCAAGCGUUGUCCGGAAUUAUUGGGCGUAAAGCGCGCGCAGGCGGUCAUUUAAGUCUGGUGUUUAAUCCCGGGGCUCAACCCCGGAUCGCACUGGAAACUGGGUGACUUGAGUGCAGAAGAGGAGAGUGGAAUUCCACGUGUAGCGGUGAAAUGCGUAGAUAUGUGGAGGAACACCAGUGGCGAAGGCGACUCUCUGGGCUGUAACUGACGCUGAGGCGCGAAAGCGUGGGGAGCAAACAGGAUUAGAUACCCUGGUAGUCCACGCCGUAAACGAUGAGUGCUAGGUGUUAGGGGUUUCGAUACCCUUGGUGCCGAAGUUAACACAUUAAGCACUCCGCCUGGGGAGUACGGUCGCAAGACUGAAACUCAAGA